RNAcentral lists this ribosomal RNA (460 nucleotides) under uncultured bacterium. RNAcentral's name for it is "partial 16S ribosomal RNA". It matches the Rfam family "Bacterial small subunit ribosomal RNA", at positions 338 to 795 of the family's 1533-position model. The record is from RNAcentral.
CCUACGGGAGGCAGCAGUGAGGAAUAUUGGUCAAUGGACGAGAGGCUGAACCAGCCAAGUAGCGUGAAGGAUGACUGCGCUAUGGGUUGUAAACUUCUUUUAUAAAGGGAUAAAACGAGGCACGUGUGCCUUUUUGCAUGUACUUGAUGAAUAAGGAUCGGCUAACUCCGUGCCAGCAGCCGCGGUAAUACGGAGGAUCCGAGCGUUAUCCGGAUUUAUUGGGUUUAAAGGGUGCGGAGAUGGGUUGUUAAGUCAGGUGUGAAAUCUUGCGGCUCAACCGUCACAUUGCAAUUGAUACUGGCAGUCGUGAGUACAGUUGAGGUAAGCGGAAUUCGUGGUGUAGCGGUGAAAUGCUUAGAUAUCGCGCAGAACCCCGAUUGCGAAGGCAGCUUACUAAGCUGUGACUGACAUUGAUGCUCGAAAGUGUGGGUAUCAAACAGGAUUAGAUACCCCAGUAGUC